This 361-nucleotide unclassified non-coding RNA is filed under the name uncultured fungus. RNAcentral's name for it is "sequence contains ITS1". The stretch from base 1 to 106 matches the Rfam family "5.8S ribosomal RNA", at positions 50 to 154 of the family's 154-position model. The record is from RNAcentral. Lineage: Eukaryota; Fungi.
GAAAUGCGAUACGUAAUGCGAAUUGCAGAAUUCAGUGAAUCAUCGAAUUUUUGAACGCAAAUUGCGCUUUCGGGAUAGGCCUGAAAGCAUGUUUCUUUGAGCCUCGUGUCUAACCCACCUCGGCUGCGUGCCGGAAAAUGAAAGUCCUGUGGCAUUGACGCAGGUCUUUUUAAGAUUAUUGAGUCAUUGACUUGAGCGCCUCGCACUAACUUCUUUCUGCAAGCGCCGCGAUUAAAAGUUUCGAGCUUUUUCUCGUCGUGAGCAAUUGAUUUGGAGCGGAAGCGAUCACGCGCAAUUGGACGAUACGGAAAACCUUUUUGACUUAGAGCUCAAAUGAAGCAAGAUAACCCGCUGAACUUAA